CAAAUGGUAGAGCGCUCGCUUAGCAUGC
This 28-nucleotide non-coding RNA is filed under the name Cricetulus griseus (Chinese hamster). The record is from RNAcentral. RNAcentral also lists the same sequence under 1 other name. Lineage: Eukaryota; Metazoa; Chordata; Mammalia; Rodentia; Cricetidae.